AUAUUAUAAUAUAAUCAAUCGGCAUCUACGUGCGGAUUAUAAAGUAAAGCGUAGCAUAACCAGGAGUUAGUC
This 72-nucleotide transfer RNA is filed under the name Staphylococcus aureus. RNAcentral describes it as "tRNA-Glu-TTC". The record is from RNAcentral. Lineage: Bacteria; Bacillati; Bacillota; Bacilli; Caryophanales; Staphylococcaceae.